GUGGGGAAUAUUGGACAAUGGGCGCAAGCCUGAUCCAGCAAUUCCGCGUGAGCGAAGAAGGCCUUCGGGUUGUAAAGCUCUUUCGGCGGGGACGAUAAUGACGGUACCCGCAGAAUAAGCACCGGCAAACUUCGUGCCAGCAGCCGCGGUAAUACGAAGGGUGCAAGCGUUAAUCGGAAUUACUGGGCGUAAAGCGCGCGCAGGCGGGAUAUCAAGUCUGUCUUAAAAGUGCGAGGCUCAACCUCGUGAGGGGACAGAAACUGGUAUUCUUGAGUGUCGGAGAGGAAAGUGGAAUUCCAAGUGUAGCGGUGAAAUGCGUAGAGAUUUGGAAGAACACCAGUGGCGAAGGCGACUUUCUGGACGAUGUCUGACGCUGAGGCGCGAAAGCUAGGGGAGCGAACGGGAUUAGAUACCCUGGUAGUCC
Molecule: ribosomal RNA, 424 nt
Filed under: uncultured bacterium
Lineage: Bacteria
Description: partial 16S ribosomal RNA
Rfam family: Bacterial small subunit ribosomal RNA
Source: RNAcentral